AGUGAACGCUGGCGGCAGGCCUAAUACAUGCAAGUCGAACGGCAGCACAGCAGAGCUUGCUCUGUGGGUGGCGAGUGGCGGACGGGUGAGGAAUACAUGGGAAUCUGCCCAGUCGUGGGGGAUAACGUAGGGAAACUUACGCUAAUACCGCAUGCGCCCUUCGGGGGAAAGCCGGGGACCGUAAGGCCUGGCGCGAUUGGAUGAGCCCAUGUCGGAUUAGCUAGUUGGCGGGGUAAAGGCCCACCAAGGCGACGAUCCGUAGCUGGUCUGAGAGGAUGAUCAGCCACACUGGAACUGAGACACGGUCCAGACUCCUACGGGAGGCAGCAGUAGGGAAUAUUGGACAAUGGGCGCAAGCCUGAUCCAGCCAUGCCGCGUGAGUGAAGAAGGCCCUCGGGUUGUAAAGCUCUUUUGUUCCGGAAAGAAAGCGCCGGUUAAUACCCUGGUGUCCUGACGGUACCGGAAGAAUAAGCACCGGCUAACUUCGUGCCAGCAGCCGCGGUAAU
This 506-nucleotide ribosomal RNA is filed under the name uncultured bacterium. RNAcentral describes it as "bacterial SSU rRNA". It matches the Rfam family "Bacterial small subunit ribosomal RNA", at positions 29 to 524 of the family's 1533-position model. The record is from RNAcentral.